AAGAGCCGUACGGCGGGAGACUGUCACGUACGGAUCGGUAGGAGCCCGGAGGUGCAAUCCCUCCGGGCCACCCGAC
Molecule: non-coding RNA, 76 nt
Filed under: Microlunatus phosphovorus NM-1
Lineage: Bacteria; Bacillati; Actinomycetota; Actinomycetes; Propionibacteriales; Propionibacteriaceae
Source: RNAcentral